AAGGCCUUCGGGUUGUAAACUGCUUUGUACGGAACGAAAAGGCUCCUUCUAAUACAAGGGGCUCAUGACGGUACCGUAAGAAUAAGCACCGGCUAACUACGUGCCAGCAGCCGCGGUAAUACGUAGGGUGCAAGCGUUAAUCGGAAUUACUGGGCGUAAAGCGUGCGCAGGCGGUGAUGUAAGACAGUUGUGAAAUCCCCGGGCUCAACCUGGGAACUGCAUCUGUGACUGCAUCGCUGGAGUGCGGCAGAGGGGGAUGGAAUUCCGCGUGUAGCAGUGAAAUGCGUAGAUAUGCGGAGGAGCACCGAUGGCGAAGGCAAUCCCCUGGGCCUGCACUGACGCUCAUGCACGAAAGCGUGGGGAGCAAACAGGAUUAGAUACCCUGGUAGUCCACGCCCUAAACGAUGUCAACUGGUUGUUGGGUCUUCACUGACUCAGCAACGAAGCUAACGCGUGAAGUUGACCGCCUGGGGAGUACGGCCGCAAGGUUG
Molecule: ribosomal RNA, 491 nt
Filed under: uncultured Pseudomonadota bacterium
Lineage: Bacteria; Pseudomonadati; Pseudomonadota
Description: bacterial SSU rRNA
Rfam family: Bacterial small subunit ribosomal RNA
Source: RNAcentral